RNAcentral lists this ribosomal RNA (253 nucleotides) under uncultured bacterium. RNAcentral describes it as "partial 16S ribosomal RNA". It matches the Rfam family "Bacterial small subunit ribosomal RNA", at positions 524 to 776 of the family's 1533-position model. The record is from RNAcentral.
GACGAAGGGGGCUAGCGUUGUUCGGAAUUACUGGGCGUAAAGCGCGUGUAGGCGGUUGUUCAAGUCAGGUGUGAAAGCCUUGAGCUCAACUCAAGAAAUGCACUUGAUACUGGAUGACUAGAGGACCGGAGAGGAUAGUGGAAUUCCCAGUGUAGUGGUGAAAUACGUAGAGAUUGGGAAGAACACCAGUGGCGAAGGCGGCUCACUGGCCCGGAACUGACGCUGAGGUGCGAAAGCGUGGGGAGCAAACAGG